Long non-coding RNA from Neofelis nebulosa (Clouded leopard), 4103 nucleotides. RefSeq lists it as uncharacterized. The transcript has 2 exons. The record is from RefSeq and is a predicted model, not a curated record. NCBI's taxonomy places the organism in Eukaryota, Metazoa, Chordata, Mammalia, Carnivora, Felidae.
GAGAGGAAGACACAGAAUCCAAGCAGGCUCCAGGCUUUGAGCUGUCAGCACAGAGCCCGACAUGGGGUUCGAACCCACAAACUGUGAGAUCAUGACCUGUGCCGAAGUCAGGAUCUCAACUGAAUGAGCUACCCAGGUGCCCUGAGAAUUCCCUUUUUCAUGGCAGGUCUUUAUGUUAGUAACAAAUUGUGCUGAAGGCUUGGGGAGUUGGAGAGAGUUUACUUUGUACAAACCCAACAUGCUCAAAUUGAAUAUUAGACAUCCCUGUUCUUGGAAAUCAUUUUGGCUCCUCUGUAAUGGCACCUUUUUCUUGGCACUUCAUCCUAUUUAGCACCCUGGCAUCCAGCCACAUCACUGAUUUUCUUUCCCUUCUCAUCUCCGUACUCACAUUCUCUCCUUGGUAUACUCUAAGUUUUGUCUUGUUUUGUUUAAGGUAUUCAGCUGAGCAAAGGGCAGAAGGGUCACCAUCACAAGUCCUGAGAAUUUCUUUAAUGGGACCCACUCUCCUCAGGUUUUGAAAAGCAUCUAUCUCAAGGGAAUAGCUCUCUCUCGAGGAUGACUGCCAUCUACAUGUCUAUCCCCCAGACCGAGCUUCAGGGAGAGGGGGAACCACAGGUCCGGCUGUGACAGCUAGCUCCUGGGAAUGGUUAUGACAAAGCAUUAGAGGGCCCAGAAACUUCUAAUGGGAUCAGUUGUGGAAAAGACAAAGCUGGGGGAAUAGACAAAGCCCUGGCCAGGGCACUUGUGGCAAAAGUUGUAUUCUUCAAGAAGAGAAAGGUUAGGAGUUCUUGGUGGACUUCAUAUUGCUGUGGAUGUGAACCCAGGAGGGAGGAGGCAGAGAUAACACCAAGGUUCCAUACCCUGGUCCCCUGAUGGGUCUGGGCACAGCCGGGAAGGGCACUCAGCCAGCCCCCGUGGCAGUGGCUGCACCUGGAGAUCUUAUCUGGGCUGGCUGAUGUGUGGUACUGAGUCAUGGAACCUGCGGCCUAGGAAACAGUUCUAGUGUUGAAAUGGGCCCAGGGGAGGGGGUGGAGUGGGUGUCUCUAGUUUGCCACCAGCACAGACAUCAUCACCACUCACACUUCCUGUCAUCCCUGGGUCACAUUCAUGGUCACCACUCAUCUCCGACCCUGUCACUCAUUUGUCACCCUCACCAUCAUCCCUGCAUCACAACCACUGGCCCUUUCUUAACCAUGGUGUCACUUGACCCAGUUCCCAUCACUGUGUUACCUUCCUCAGCAUGCCACCAUCCCUGUCCCAGCCCCAUGCCCAAGGCUGUCAUUAUCUGAGCCUGCCCUGUCUUCUUUAUCAACUACCUCUACCCCAACCCUGUCACUGGCUAGUUCCACUCCCACCUUGAUGUCACCACCUGUCCCUGUCAUCCUCAUCACCUUGGUCACCAUACCCCUCACCCCCUGUCCCAGUCUCCAUCAUCUUUAAGUCCUCUGGACUGUCAUCAGCUUCCACCAUCCCCUCUGUUGAUUCACCAGCACUGCCCAUCUCUGCUUCCCCCCUCACUAUCAUCAACAUCCUCCUUAUCUCCAGCCACUCAUAUAGGUCUCCAAAUGGGCUUUUCCCUGUGGUGUAGACGUCCUCCACAUGUGUGCACCUCAGAGCCUGUACUCCUGCCUUUCCAGCCUCUGGCCUCCACUGGGCUUCCUUACCUGGAGUUGCCACAUUCUUUGCCUUCACACUCUGCCCUGGCACUCUGCUUCCUUUCACCCCUAUGUUAGCUGGACUCUGGGGCUAGGCACUUAUUCCCAGGCUUUUGAAAGAGUACUCGGUGGAGGCCUUGCCAGGAAGCCCUGAAUCCUCUCUACCUGCACCUAUGACGUUCGGGCAGUGCUUCCAUCCAGCCUGGAUCUAAAAUCUCCAUUUAUUAAAUUGACUAACAUUUCCCUUUUUAGAAUUCCUUGAAGUCCCCUCAGACUAUUACCUCUCCCUUAUGAUACACUUUCACGGCCCCCAGUACUUUGACAUGUAAUACUUAUGAUCCACUACUUAUUCAUAUAGUCAUGUGUUUCAGACCAUCUUGCCCACCAGACAGGACACUCUGGGAAGGCAGUAACUGUGUUUAUCUCGGCCACUGCCAGGUCUCCAGAGCCUGGCACAGUGCCUGGCUUCUUGUAGGGGCUCAGUGAAUGUCAAGUGAAUAAAUACUACUUAUUGAGCACUUAAUAGUGCCAGACACUGUGGUGAGUGCUGUACACCUAUUAACUUGGUUAUUCCUUGUCAUAUUAUGGUAUCCCUUUUUAUUUUAUUUACUUUUGAGCAUUGCAAGGGCUUUUUAGCUGAUUUGGCACAAGUGCUUUUGACAAAGUUCACGAACAGAAGCACAUUUCCAAUUACUCAUCAGAAAGUGAGGACACUUAAGAGAAAGCCAGUUACUCAUAGAACAAGGAAAAACACUUUCUUGUAAUUAGGGCAAAGAGAAUUACAGCUUGUAAUGUCACCUCUUGAUUUCAUCUUUAUUAUCUCUGAGGGAAGUAGAAGAAGCUGGGGGCUAGGAUUGGGGGUGAGAGGGAUACCUGAAGAAGAUCCGUUCUCAUCUCUGGAAAGCAAAAAUUAGAUCCUCACCUUACACCAUAAAACUGAUGGUUUUAAGAGAUAAAUAUAUAAAGGGUUAAAAUAAAGCUGCAGACUUCAAGCUGUAUUACAAAGCUGUAAUCAUCAAGACAGUAUGGUACUGGCACAAAAACAGACACUCAGAUCAAUGGAACAGAAUAGAGAACCCACAAAUGGACCCACAAACGUUUGGCCAACUAAUCUUUGACAAAGCAGGAAAGAAUAUCCAAUGGAAUAAAGACAGUCUGUUCAGCAAGUGGUGCUGGGAAAACUGGACAGCGACAUGCAGAAGAAUGAACCUGGACCACUUUCUUACACCAUACACAAAAAUAAAAUCAAAAUGGAUGAAAGACCUCAAUGUAAGACAGGAAGCCAUCAAAAUCCUCAAGAAGAAGGCAGGCAAAAACCUCUUUGAUCUUGGCCGCAGCAACUUCUUACUCAAUAUGUCUUCAGAGGCAAGGGAAGCAAAAGUAAAAAUGAACUACUGGGACAUCAUUAAAAUAAAAAGCUUCUGCACAGGGAAGGAAACAAUCAGCAAAACUAAAAGGCAACUGACAGGAUGGGAGAAGAUAUUUGCAAACGACAUAUCAGAUAAAGAGUUAGUAUCCAAAAUCUAUAAAGAACUUAUCAAACUCAACACCCAAAAACCAAAUAAUCCAAGUGAAGAAAUGGGCAAAAGACAUGAAUAGGCACUUCUCCAAAGAAGACAUCCAGAUAGCCAACUGACACAUGAAAAAAUGCUCAACAUCACUUAUCAUCAGGGAAAUACAAAUCAAAACCACAAUGAGAUAUCACCUCACACCUGUCAGAAUGGCUAACAUUAACAACUCAGGUAACAAUAGAUGUUGGCGAGGAUGUGGAGAGAGAGGCUCUCUUUUGCAGUGCUGGUGGGAAUGCAAACUGGUGCAGCCACUCUGGAAAAGAGUGUAGAGUUUCCUCAAAAAAUUAAAAAUAGAACUACUCUAUGACCCAGCAAUUGCAUUACUAGGAAUUUAUCCAAGGGAUUCAGGUAUGCUGGUUCGAAGGGGCACAUGCACCCCAAUGUUUAUAGCAGCUAUCAACAAUAGCCAAAGUCUGGAAAGAGGCCAAAUGUCCAUUGAUGGAUGAAUGGAUAAAGAAGAUGUGGUAUAUACACACACACACACACACACACACACACACACACACUAUGGAGUAUUACUUGGCAAUCAAAAAGAAUGAAAUCUUGCCAUUUGCAACUACAUGCAUGGAACUAGAGGUUAUUAUGCUAAGUGAAAUUAGUCAGAGAAAGACAAAUAUCAUGUGACUUCACUCAUAUGAGGACUUCAAGAUACAAAACAGAUGAACAUAAGGGAAGGGAAGGAAAAAUAAUAUAUAAAUAGGGAGGGGGACGAAACAUAAGAGACUUUUAACUAUGCAGAAUAAACAGGGUUACUGGAGGGGGUUAUGGGCUAAAUGGGUAAGGGGCAUUACGGAAUCUACUCCUGAAAUCAUUGUUGCACUAUAUGCUAACUUGGAUAUAAAUUAAAAAAUAAUAAUAAUAAAUAAAUAAAAAUAAA